Non-coding RNA from Xyrichtys novacula (pearly razorfish), 766 nucleotides. Lineage: Eukaryota; Metazoa; Chordata; Actinopteri; Labriformes; Labridae. The record is from the annotation of a GenBank genome assembly.
AUGUUUACAUAUACACUCACCGGCCACUUUAUUAGGUAUACCUGUCCAACUGCUCGUUAACACUUAAUUUCUAAUCAGCCAAUCACAUGGCGGCAACUUAGUGCAUUUAGGCAUGUAGACAUGGUCAAGACAAUCUCCUGCAGUUCAAACCGAGCAUCAGUAUGGGGAAGAAAGGUGAUUUGAGUGACUUUGAAUGUGGCAUGGUUGUUGGUGCCAGAAGGGCUGGUCUGAGUAUUUCAGAAACUGCUGAUCUACUGGGAUUUUCGCGCACAACCAUCUCUAGGGUUUACAGAGAAUGGUCCGAAAAAGAAAAAAUAUUCAGUGAGCGGCAGUUCUGUGGGCGGAAAUGCCUUGUUGAUGCCAGAGGUCAGAGGAGAAUGGCCAGACUGGUUCGAGCUGAUAGAAAGGCAACAGUGACUCAAAUAACCACCCGUUACAACCAAGGUAGGCAGAAGAGCAUCUCUGAACGCACAGUACGUCGAACUUUGAGGCAGAUGGGCUACAGCAGCAGAAGACCACGCCGGGUGCCACUCCUUUCAGCUAAGAACAGGAAACUGAGGCUACAAUUUGCACAAGCUCAUCGAAAUUGGACAAUAGAAGAUUGGAAAAACGUUGCCUGGUCUGAUGAGUCUCGAUUUCUGCUGCAACAUUCGGAUGGUAGGGUCAGAAUUUGGCGUCAACAACAUGAAAGCAUGGAUCCAUCCUGCCUUGUAUCAACGGUUCAGGCUGGUGGUGGUGGUGUCAUGGUGUGGGGAAUAUUUUCUUG